Theobroma cacao (cacao) is the source of this 788-nucleotide long non-coding RNA. RefSeq lists it as uncharacterized. Lineage: Eukaryota; Viridiplantae; Streptophyta; Magnoliopsida; Malvales; Malvaceae. The record is from RefSeq and is a predicted model, not a curated record.
UUCACUACUUUUCUAUUUAAAUUAAGGGCAUCAAGUCUUAUGCAUGUCAACUGUCCAUCCUUCCCCUCAAACAGCCAUGGCUACCUAUCUCUCAUUUCUUAUCCUCAUAGCAGCUUCUGCAUUUUCCACUCUUACCGCUGAUGUGAGCAUCGACUGUGGAGCAUCUGAUGUUUAACGAUCAUGGCUAUUCCAUUCGUUGGGUCGGGGAUGAAAACUACAUUCAACAUGGUGAGUCCGUAGAGGUGAAUCUAUCACACCAUUGUAUCGACCCAUAACCACUUUAAGGGUUUUCACUGAUACGAAGAAAAGCUGUUACUCCAUUGAAGCUCACAAAUUUUCUAAGGUUCUUGUCCGGGCGAGUUUUUUCUAUGGAAACUAUGACGGGAAAUCAUCUCCUCCAAGUUUUUCUAUGGAAAUUAUCAGAAGAGAAAGUCAGCAGCAGCCAUUGCUACCACAAAUGCAGGGCAAGCUAGAAGAGCCAACAUGCCUAAUGGUAAGCCACAGGCAGGGGAUAAGCAGCGGCAGGAGACGAAUAACGUUAUGGCCCAGAGUUUUGUCAAUGAUUUUAGAGUGAACAUCCAGGUGGAGCAAUCAGCCGCAGAAGAGCUUAGAUUGGGCCGGGGCUACAAACCAGUUGACUUCUGGGUAGGCUAGGGCUUUGAUGUUUAAUCUUAGGCUUAGCUUAGCCUGGCCCAUGUCAUUGUUUUCUGACUCAGUUUUUUGUUUUUAAUUAUGAUUAGUAUAUUAUUUUAAUAAUAAAAGUUCAAACCUAUGGUUGGAUUAAAUUA